AAAAGUGGAGAGGAGAAAUGCAGUCGAUGAAUCCAGACCACAUCCGGAGCGCUUUUGAGCUUCUCCCUGCGCUCAAGGACGUGCUGUAUGAAAUACAACAUGGCACCUCCGCCAAAGAGUCGGUCAG
RNAcentral lists this ribosomal RNA (127 nucleotides) under Ctenophora environmental sample. RNAcentral describes it as "partial Trypanosomatid mitochondrial large subunit ribosomal RNA". The record is from RNAcentral. Lineage: Eukaryota; Metazoa; Ctenophora.